Oryza sativa Indica Group (long-grained rice) is the source of this 204-nucleotide microRNA precursor. It matches the Rfam family "MIR812 microRNA precursor family". NCBI's taxonomy places the organism in Eukaryota, Viridiplantae, Streptophyta, Magnoliopsida, Poales, Poaceae. The record is from Rfam.
AAAAAGGCAAACCCUGGGUUUCCGUGUCCAACUUUAACUAUCCGUCUUAUAUGAAAUUUUUUUAUAAUUCGUAUUUUCAUUGUUGUUAGAUGAUAAAACAUGAUUAAUAUUUUAUGCGUGACUUAUUUUUUUAAUUUUUUUAUAUUUUUUUCAAAUAAGACGAACGGUCAAAUGUUGGGCACGGAAACCAGGGUUUUUCUUUUU